RNAcentral lists this transfer RNA (87 nucleotides) under Chitiniphilus shinanonensis. RNAcentral describes it as "tRNA-Leu". It matches the Rfam family "tRNA". From Rfam's summary of the family: Transfer RNA (tRNA) molecules are approximately 80 nucleotides in length. Their secondary structure includes four short double-helical elements and three loops (D, anti-codon, and T loops). Lineage: Bacteria; Pseudomonadati; Pseudomonadota; Betaproteobacteria; Neisseriales; Chitinibacteraceae. The record is from RNAcentral.
GCCCAGGUGGCGGAAUUGGUAGACGCACUAGGUUCAGGUCCUAGCGCCUUCACCGGCGUGGAAGUUCGAGUCUUCUCCUGGGCACCA